GGCAAGGAGAUUGAGAAAAUGAGGUACCAGAAGGCAUCCAUGGUGCGCAAUAAGGAUGACUGACCUUGAUAAGAAUUUGUACACUUCAAUUCAACUGUAGUUCAACCUUCUAUGACUUUCGGCUCAUAAAUGUAAAUGAAAAUUUGAAGGCCAAAAGUGUAGUUGUGUGUUGAGGUGCCUUUUUGACCUAUAAUCAUGUCAUGCUCAGCUUCGGUCAUUUCUCAGGGUAAUUCAAAUUGCUAGAGGUGAAACUCCAGGUCAGUACCUACUAAACGGUUAGAAUGUAGCGUAACAAGAAUAUUUGUUUUUCUUCCAAAACUCAGAAAUAUAAUUGAGCUUUGUUAAGCAAGAAGGUAGAUUAUUUGAUUCUGGUAGUGAUUUAUGCAAAAAUUUGAAUGAUAAUGUUACUACUGUGUAUUAGUUUUCUUCCCUUAUGUUAAUGCAUCCUGCUUUCACUAUUUCCAUUAAGAAGAGCGUGCCUUGGAUUCUCACUUUGUUUCUUUCUCUGUUUUCUAACCCAACCCAAGUAAAACUACAAUGCUUCUUAUCUAUAGCCUUGUCGUAAUCAUGUAUAUUGUUUUCGUUUGAUUUAUUCAAUCUUAUGACUAUAAAUAAAGGGUGAAUCGCCUCCCUAUAUUUACGUCACAAGAAUUCCUAUAAAUUGAGUUCUGCUCAAGCUGCUAGACUACCGCAGCUUACCCAAACCAAAGUUUCACACAAAACUGAUACCAUGGGGAAUCAAAAGUUCAUUUCACCACUUUUCUUCUUCUCAUAUUUGUGCAUGCAUGCCUUUGUUCUUAACUCAUGUCUUAGUUUGGCCCUCGCCAGAUCAAACGGGACAGAAAACUGGCGUUGCUUGAAUUGAAGGCUAGGAUAACUACAGACCCUUUUGGAGUCAUGAGUUCGUGGAACGAAACAAUCCACUUUUGCCAAUGGCACGGUGUUACCUGUGGUCACCGCCACGAGAGGAUCACAAUGUUGACGCUGAGGUCCUUGAAGCUUGGAGGCUCUAUAUCGCCACAUGUUGGAAAUUUGAUUUAUCCCCAGAAUUAAUUCAUAUGUCUUCUUCAUAUGUUUAUUUGGAUUUAUCUCGAAAUCAUUUGAUUGGCUUUCUUCCCAUGGAAGUCAGACAAUUGAUAAAUCUAGAGCAUUUUGACGUUUCUGGAAACCUGUUGUCUGGUGAAAUUCCUCCAAGUCUUGGAAGUUGUAAAACCAUACACUAUCUUGACUUGCAAGAAAACUUCUUCCAAGGGACAAUUCCAUCUGAUUUGAGCUCACUAAGAGGUAUUGAAACCUUAUCUCUCGCUCACAACAACUUGUCAGGGACAAUUAUGAAAUUCUUGGAGAAUUUUACAUUUUUGCAAUCCUUGAAUCUGUCUUAUAACAAUUUAGAGGGAGCAGUACCUAUCGAAGGAGUUUUUCGGAAUGCAACUGCCACAUUAGUCCAAGGGAAUACAAAGCUCUGUGGGGGCAUACCAGAGUUUCAAUUGCCAAAAUGCGAAUUUCAACAUUCCAGCAAAAGGGGGUUGAGCCUAACCUUGAAACUAGUAAUUUCUCUCCUUUGUGGGCUUUCUGGAGCCUUUUUUUCAUUUGCCGUUUUGUACCCUUGUUGCUUCCGGAGUAAAAAAAAGGAGGAUCCUUCGAGUGAUUCUGAAAAAUUUCCAAAGGUGUCUUACCAAAGUCUUCUUAAAGCGACUGAUGGAUUCUCUUCUGCCAAUUUGAUUGGUAUGGGAAGUUUUGGGUCAGUUUAUAAAGGAUUACUUGAUCAAGGUGAAACAACAAUUGCUAUCAAGGUACUCAACCUUGAUCGACACGGAGCUUCCAAAAGUUUCAUUGCUGAGUGUGAGGCUCUGAAAAAUAUUAGACACCGUAACCUUGUGAAGGUAGUUUCGGCAUGCUUUGGAUUCGACUAUUGUGGUUCUGAUUUCAAGGCCUUAAUUUACGAGUUCAUGGUGAAUGGGAGCUUAGAUGAAUGGUUGCAUCCAGCUCAGACAAGUAUUGAUAUGAAUCAGAUGCCAAGAAGCUUAACUUUUUCGCAGAGGUUGAACAUUGCGAUAGAAGUUGCAAUGGCAUUGGAUCAUCUCCAUUAUCAGUGUCACAUGCCAAUAGUUCAUUGUAACCUCAAACCCAACAAUGUUCUUCUUGACUAUGAUAUGAUUGGACAUGUAGGUGACUUUGGGUUGGCGAGAUUCCUUCCAAGAACUCUUGAAGAUGGUUUUGGUAAUCAGUCAAGCUCCAUCGGAGUUAAAGGAACAAUCGGUUAUACUCCUCUAGGUAAAACGUACACUUUCUUUUCACUUUUUUCAGUAUUCAUUUAUAAUUUAGAUUUUUUUAUGUAUUAAAAUAAAAACAUUUGCACAAAUGUAGAGUAUGGCAUGGGGCAUGAAGUGUGGCCACAAGGUGACGUGUAUAGUUACGGCAUCCUCCUGCUGGAAAUGUUUACGGGAAAAAGGCCAACUGGUGACAUGUUUCAAGGAUUUUCAAAUCUUCACAACUAUGUCAAGGCAGCUCUGCCUGAGCUGGUGUUAGAUAUUGUAGAUCCGGUUCUUAUUCAAGAAAAAGGGGAGGGGAGCUGAGUGCAAACCAGCAUCUAACUGCGGCUAGCACAACAAUUCGCAGGAAAAUUGAAGAGAGCUUGAUUUCAGUCUUAGGAGUUGGUGUUGCAUGCCCCGCAGACAUGUAUGGGGAAAGAUCGGGCAUCGUUGAUGUUGUGGCUGAGAUGUGUCAGAUCAGAAACAGACUUCGAGCAGAUAAAAUGUUGGAUUAGAAUAAGCGCACUGUUAAGUAUUAGCAUGUACGUAAUAAUCUUGUUUCCUUAUGUGGAAGUCGAAGUUCUCAUAUUUGCUUGAUAAAUAAAAACUGUAUAGUUGAUGACCUUUCUGACGAACUUCAAUCCAUUUACUACUUCGUAUUGUUGAGCUAUACUUAUAUGCAUUUCCAUGAUGAGAUUUUUUUUGCAUGGAGGGCUCUACUUCAAUGAGGUUUUCUCCACAGACAUAGCUACAUACAUUGUGAUAACUCAGUUUGGGGAAGAUAGGAAGAGCAGAUUUAGUGAGUUCUGUCCCGGGUAGGCUAAUGAAGUUGCUAAUGAAGCCGGGUGAUUAUUGAAGCAAGUUGAGAUUCCAUCAUAAUAUCAAUUAGCAUCGUUGGCAAUUGCCCAAAUUCUUAUUAGCACAUGCACCCUUGAUUAAUGCGACAGGGAAAGCUAGCCGGAUUAAUUGAAGAAGAGUGGUGCAGAAAAUGCUUUCCAAAAGCACUACCUCGUUAAUGGUUGACUUAAAAAUCAACCCGGGCAAGAAAUUUUCCAACACUAAGGGUGUGUUUGUUUGAUAUUAUUAAGGGUGAUUGGCUUAACUGGGACUUGGGACAUGUUUGGCGCAGGUUGGGAUUAAAGUAAAUGAGACUACGGCCCUCGCUAACGCAUCACUACGAAUCCCGUGCUCCACCAUGGGAUUGCUAGGACCCCCUAUAAUCCUGUCUUCGGCAUCAUCAACUAAUGCGCGCCCCGUCGCCCAAAUCGACCUCGUCGCCAACUCCAACACCUCGCCAACGCCUCGUGCUGGAAAUUUUCUUGCCCGCCGAUUUCCAAUAUGUUGAGAAAAAACCCAAAAACCCUAGAUCCCCAAAUUGAAAUUUGAAAUAUGAACAAACAGAAAUCGCAGCCCAACACGUCAAGAAGAUGUUCAGCUUCAAGAGAUUGGGGUGUUUGGAAUUGAAUUGAUCACUUCAAAAUGAUGUUUAGUUGUGCUCUAUCAACAACUAUUCCUAGUUUGAAUCUUGUCUCGAAAUUGACUAUAGUUAUCCUGUAGAACAUCUACAAACAAAUUACUAACACAUCUUGAAGAGAUUGGGGCUUUUGCGAUUGAAUCGCACUAGAUGAUUGGAUUCCAUUGAAGAGAUUGGAGACGGUGGUUGGGAUUUUUGGAAGCAGAGAAAAUAAAAGGUUAAUAUCAGUGAAGAAGAAGAGCAGAGAAUAGCUUUUGUGAAUGCAAUGAGAUAAAAAGAUUAUAAAACUGAAAUUAAAAAAUUAUAGAAGUGAAUAAAAAAUAGCAAAAUAUUUAAUCUGUCACUUUAGUCCGACACUGCACCAAACGUUUCACUAAGCUAGUCCAGUUUAGUCUAGUCUAAGCCAGUCCAGCUUAGUCCUUACAACUAGUCUAGUUCGAGACAGUCCGAUGCAACAAACGCACCCUAAGAGAACUAUUGGGGUUUAUUUUUUCUUCCACCAAUGAAAGUUGGAAUUAGAUACAAAACUAUUUAGAAAGACAAUAUCAAAGUUACUAUUUUGCAAUGUACAAAAUUAAAGUAAUGUUUUGUAGGCUUGGCAUACUGGAUCAAACAUUUAAGUGCGCACAAUCACUGUUUUAGUUUGACAACUUGACAAUAUAACAUACUAGACUAUCUAAAAAACAGAUGAUUUACUUACAAAAUCGAUCCCUUUUUUUUUUCUUGGGUGUUUAUUAGGGCUGGGUUCGGUUCAAAAUGGUUCGGUUUUUUGCCAAAACCGAAACCGAACCGAAAUUUCAGUUUGGUUCCGUUCGGUCCAUUUUUUUUCGGUUUCGGUUUUUUUCGGUUUUUUUUUUUUCAAUGAUGUAAAUGGAAGGAAUAAAUCUCCCAGUUCUCAUAUAUCAAUGGAGCCUGCUCCGCCCAUCAUCGUCUUCCAUUACCUCUUCUACAUCACAAAUCUCUAAUCCUUUAGUUAAGACUUUUCUAGCCUCUUCCCAAUUUUUUCUUCUCCAAAAGUACAAAUCAUACAACUAUUCCAUCAUAAACAAAAUAAGAGACGCAAAAGAAUUUAAUUCCCUUUUUAAGACUACACAGAGGAAGAACCAUAUGAAAAUCCCAAUGGGUCUUUGCUAAAACUUUACAACAAACCGAAAACUUGAACUCAACAAUUUUAGGUACUAACCUUUCACCUUCAUGCAUUUUCUCACUAACCAAACAUAUACAUUUUCUCACCUCAAAAUCCCGAAUAUAUUCAAGUAAUUCAACUACUUAUGAUCAAGCAGAUCGAGUUCAAAUUUUCAAAACUUAAGCAAAUACAGAAACAUAUAUUCUUCAAGUACAUCGCCAGGAUUCAAAAUUCUAAAAAUUUAAAAUUUACAAAAUCAUGAAAUAAUUCAACAAAUUAAGAUGCAGAUCGAAACAAAAAAAAAGCAAAUAGGUUCGUCUAAAUGUCAUAAUCGGACUCCAAUAUCGCAUGCCCAGUGCCCACAUUCAAAUUCCUAGUCAAGUCCACAAUAGAUCUAGAAAAUUCCGAAACAUAUUAAAAGAAAAAUACAAACUUUUUCACCUUAAAUUACAUAAAUUUCAAGUGGGUAACCAUAAAAUCGCCAUGAUCAUAAAAUUAAAAACCCAUGAACUGACAAAUAAAUAAAACCCACAACCUUUGCUGCAGCGAAAUCGCCAUGAUCAUCGCAAGCUCUAACAGUUCCUCUUUUCGUCGAGUCUCGAAAGGGGCGAGGGAAAAUCAUGAUUUGGAAGAAGGAAUCCGUGAGGAGGACAUGAGAAGACUAGAGAGAAAGUGAUUUGGAGGAAGAGAGGAAGGAGAGGGAGAGGGAAAGAGAGAGACUGAGGAAGCAGCGGAUGGAAGAAGUGUUUGAGAUCUGAAAUGAAAUGGGAGUGAGACGGCUAGGGUUUGUAAAGUUAAGAAAUUUUAUAAAGCAUUAAACAUAAGAAACCUAUAAAUAUAUUACUGGUACGAUUACAACAACACAAAGCCUACAGUUAAGUUGGCUAGCAGCACUUUACCCCAACUCGCAGGUCAGGGGUACAAACCUUGACGCGGCCAACAUGUUUUUUUAGUAUUUAUAUAUGAUUUUUUUUUUCGGUUCGGUUCGGUUUCCGGACCUCAAAAACCGAAACCGAACCAACCAGAUUCGGUUCGGUUCAGUUUGGCAAUUUCAGUUCGAUUUUUUUUCGGUUCGGUUUUUUUCGGCCUCGGUUCGGUUUGGUUUUCGGUUCGGUUUUGAACCCACCCCUAGUGUUUAUGAAGCCGGGUGGUUUUUGAAGCAAGUUGAGAUCCCAUCAUAAAAUCAAUUAACAACAAAGAAAAUAGCCCAAAUUCUUUUAAGCACAUGCACCCUUGAUUAAUGCGACAAGGAAGGCUGGUCGGAUUAAUUGACAAAGAGUGGCGCAGAAAAUAUUUUCCAAAAGCACUAGCUCAUUAAUGGCUGACUUAAAAAGCAACCCGUGCAGGAAAUUUUCCAACACUAGGAGAAUUAUUGGGGUUUAUUUUUUCUUCCACUAAUGAAAGUUGGAAUUAGAUACAAAACUAUUUAGAAAGAUAAUAUCAAAGUUACUAUUUUGCAAUGUACAAAAUUAAAGUAAUGUUUUGUAGGCUUGGCAUACUGGAUCAAACAUUUAAGUGCGAACAAUCAAUGUUUUAGUUUGACAACGUGACAACAUAUCAUUCUAGACUAUCUAAAAACCAGAUAAUUUACUUACAAAAUUGAUCUUUUUUUUUCUUUUCUUGGGUGUUUAUGAAGCUAGGUGGUUAUUGAAGCAAGUUGAGAUUUCAACAUAAAAUCAAUUUGCAACAUAGAGAAUAGCCCAAAUUCUUAUAAGCACAUGCACCCUUGAUUAAUGCGACAGGGAAGGCAGGCUAGAUUAAUUGACAAAGAGUGGCGCAGAAAAUAUUUUCCAAAAGCACUAGCUCGUUAAUGGCUGACUUAAAAAGCAACCCGUGCAGGAAAUUUUCCAACACUAGGAGAAUUAUUGGGGUUUAUUUUUUCUUCCACUAAUGAAAGUUGGAAUUAGAUACAAAACUAUUUAGAAAGAUAAUAUCAAAGUUACUAUUUUGCAAUGUACAAAAUUAAAGUAAUAGUUUUGUAGGCUUGGCAUGCUGGAUCAAACAUUUAAGUGCGCACAAUGUUUUAGUUGACAACGUUACAACAUAAAUAUGCUAGAUUAUCUAAAAAAAAUGAUUUACUUACAAAACCGAUCUUUUUUUUUCUUGAGUGUUUAAGAAAAUAAAACGCUUCAAAGUUCAAACUCUUUUUCUAUAUAAAACUUGCGUUAGCAGAUGUAAGAAUAGAGAAAGACUUGGCUGUCACCAGAGUUAUGACACAUGCAAGAAUUUGCUGAGAAAAGAGUGUGAAGAAAACUAGUGGGAUUAUGAUAGAUGUUGAUAUCCAUCUUAUCUCCACACUAGCCAAUCCUCUUAGUCAAGGAAUUCCACUAAUGCUUUCCUAGUCAGUUUUUUAUUUUUGUUUAGAAAAAUGAUAAAUACACACCAUUUUUAGCAUCUCACACACUAAUAUUUAAUUAUGUUUAUUAUUUUUGUUUUAUAUAUGUAGUCUGAUGGCUAGAAAUAAAGAGUGUGGAAAUCACCCACCUACAUUGAAGUCAAGAUGCAUGCUUACAAAUUGGGUUAUUUUCAAGAUGCUAGACAACCACAGCUUACCCAAACAAAAGUUUGACACGAAACAGAUAUCAUGGGACUUUAGAAAACUGCAAACUGCUUUUGAUACUAUUUUCCAGCAUAUUCGGCUUUUCUCCUAAUCUUACCAACCUUUUAAUCUCAACCAUUCAUGUACAUCCUAUGCAGUGGCGGAUCCAGGAAAUAAUGUUUGGGGGGUCAACAAGGAUAGCGCGCGCAGCGCGAAAUUUUUUUUUAACAGAAACGACAUGCAUAUCGUAAUUUCAUCGGGUCUUGGUAAGAUAGCGUGAUCAGCCUCUCGCCGAUAGUUACCAUACUGAAAGGUGCCUUCACUUUCCCUGACAACCAAAAAUACCACAACUAAUCAGCAUCAAUGUAAUCUGAGAUCUCAAAUUGAAAAAAAAUGCAAACUUUGCAAGUACGAACAGUAUGAUACCAAAAAUACCACAACUAAUCAGCAUCAAUGUAAUCUUAUACAAACGUGUUUAUAGCAGGUUCUAUGCUGAAAGCUAGCUGCUUGCCAUGAAAUUAUUUUGGAGAAGUCAGACCCUGAAGAAGAAGACACCUAAACCGCCAAUUUCAUCGGGUCUUGUUAAUCACUUCAACUAUAUAUUUUAUGUAUAAAAUGGCUCCGACAAGUUGUUGUACAUAUCUUAGUAUUAUAUGGAAACUGUCAAAUUUACCUGAAAAAGGAUUUCUCUUCCAUUGCGCACUGCUGCACAGGGGCGGAUGAAAUGACGAUGCGCAAUUACCAUUACAGACCUUCGGCGUGCACAUCUCUACCUGCUAAGAAAAUACAGAAACAUUCUUACUUGACUGAAGUAAAAUUUAACAAGAACAAAGCUACUUGUUUCAUUCGUUAUAAUUAUUGGAACACCUCAUACUAAACAUACAUAUUUUUUCGGAAUUGCAUGAACUGUGUGAUUUCCUUGUCGCAUGAAGGUCAUCCUUCUGCUGAGGCCUCGCAUGAAGGUCAUUCUUCUUCCUCUUCCUGCACUGCAGUGCCAAGCUUCGUUCAGAACAUUUGUCGAACACUUGGCGUGCGACUCCGACCCCGACUACCCCAGCUCCAAGAGGUCGCGUAUGGGAGCUUCAAGGUUGUUUCCAUGGUUUCCAAGGGGUCGUCAGACCCCGACGACCCCACUGUGGAUCCGCCUCUGAUCCUAUGGUUACUUCAUAGUAGUUUAUAAUUUUUUUUUCAUUGUAGUUUAUAAUUUUUUUUUCUCUUAAAAGCAAUUAUUUGGGGUGAAAUUCUGAAAUUAAUAAAGGAAAAGAGGUAAAAUCGGCCAUAGUGCAGCCAUUGGAACUCUAAACGAUGAUGCUAUUAGGUUCUCCAGACGAUAGUUAGGUUUCUUCAAUGCCGAUUCAUUCUUCUUGUUUAACCUCAGAACACAGAAAAAAUGUGCUAUUUGGAAUUCAAAAGCAAUACGAAUUUGGCGUAGGGUGAAUUCAAGAUCGUACUUAUAUGUUAUCAGAAUCGGGAAGGCAUAUUAGAUUCUCAUGUAAGAUUUCGUUAAUUUUGUCUCUUAUUUAUUUCUUUUUUGAAAGGAAAACUUGUAUGUUCUAGAGCAGACCCAUUUGGUCUUGACUCCUGCAAGGUCUUAUCUAUGAAAUAUCAAAGUAUUAGGAUUAGAUUCAAAGGAGAGGGGAAAACCAUGAUACAGAAGGCUUACUUUAUGUUCCUUUCCCCUAAUGAUCCGAACUCUUAUUGAGUACAAAGUUAACGCAACCAUCCAAUAAGGUUUAAAAGUAAGAAUGAAAGUUUAUUUGUUUAGAAUAGAGAAGGUUAUGAAUCGAGAAAGUUGGAAAUAAGGAAGAGAAAGAAGAGAUAACAUGGGGUCUUUACUUGGGCUUACUUGGGCACAUGUGAGACUCUGCAGUUACGGUUCAUUUGGUGUUACAGCUGCUGACAAUAAUCAUCCUUUUGGUUCUCUUGUUUUGGCUUGCCGAGAAUUGCUUUUAGGACAUUGGCAAUGUGAACUUCGACAUGUCCAUAAAGAAAAGAACUUUGUGGCAAAUAGUUUAACAACUUAUACUCUUGAUUUAUAUUUAGGUAAUUUCUAUUUUGAUACUCCUCCUUCUUGUUUAGUUAGUUUCAUCUGUGAGGAUCGACUUGGGAUGUCCUAGUCUAAAUUUUUUAUCGAGUAAGUUUGUUUGGACUAUUACUUUUAGCCUCGUUUUUCAAAUACAUGAAUAAAUAACUAACAACGAAAUAAAUUAAAAAGGUGUGUAAAUAAACAUCCCUUGGAUUAUAUUGGGUGAAAUGGGUGGAGAGACCCAAACAACAAUCUGGGCCGAGUGGUUAUUGAAGUAAGUUGAGAUUCCAUCAUAAAAUCAAUUAGCAACAUAAAGAAUAACCCAAAUUCUUAUAAACACAGGACCCAUGAUUAAUGUGAAAGGGAGGGCUAGCCGAAGUAAUUGGCGAAGACUGGCGCAUAAAAUAUUUUCCAAAAGCACUAGCUCGUUAAUGGUUGACUUAAGAAGCAACCCGUGCAAGAAAUUUUCAAACACUAAGAGAAUUAUUGGGGUUUAUUUUUCCUUCCACUAAUGAAAGUUCGAAUUAGCUAGAUACAAAACAAUUUAGAAAAUUAAAGUAUCAAAGUUACUAUUUUGCAAUGUACAAAAUUAAAGUAAUGUUUUGUAGGUUUGGCAUACUGGAUCAAAUAUUUAAGUACGCACAAUCACUGUUUUAGUUUGACAACGUGACAACAUAACAUGCUAGACUAUCUAAGAAAAAAAUGAUUUACUUAAAAAAUUGAUCCUUUGUUUUCAUGAGUGUUUAUGAAAAUAAAACGCUCUAAACUCUUUUUCUAUAAAUAGCUUGCGUUAGCACAUGUAAGAACGGUGAAAGGCUUGGCUGUCACUGGAGCUAUGAGAAAAGAGUGCGAAGAAAACUACUGGGAUUAUGAUAGAUGUUGAUGUCCAUCUUAGCUCUACACUAGUCAACCCUCUUAGUCAAGGUAUUCCAUAAUGCUUUCCUAGUCUGUUUUUUAUAUUUGUUUACAAAAAUGAUAAACAUAUUUUAAUCUUCUUAUUUAAGUGUGAUUGUGUAAAUCCUAGAUUAGAUUAGAUUUUUGUUAUUCUUUCCUAUUAGGACUUAUAUUCCUUGGAGGAGAAGGAUUUAUUCUCUCUCUUCUUACUAUAAAUAAAGGCACUGUAUAGGGGAAAUAACACAUCCUCUACACAACCCUACAAACACAUCUCUCUCUGUAUUUUCUCUGUGUUGCCGGCCUCCUCUCCUUGUCAGUGAAAUAUAGGUCACAACAUGUUAUCAACACGUUCCUACUGCUGUGCUUAGGAAUCUGACGUGGAAGUUUUCGACAUCAAACUAGUUCACCAAUAUCAUCACGCAAUCAGGUUCUUUCAAAACAAUGGUUUUUAUCUCGAUAUUUUUGCAUUCCUGAUAGCAUGAACAUUCACCAUAAUGCAUGACCCAACUUUAUCGAAUUUUAGAUUCUACAUAAAUUGUGUAUGCAUUAUAUCCAUAAUUAUCAAAUUAUGUGAAUUGAUAUUGCCAUGAAUUGCAUCAUAUAUAUGCUCAUGCAUUAAAUUAUAUGUUGAAUUAAUCUGAAAAAAAAAGAUUUGUAAAGUCCUAACAUCGCCGGCUGCAUGCAGCGCCGUCGUGCAAGUCGCCAGCACUAGGCUAGUAGCCUUCAUCGGCUUGGCAAGCCCAGCCCAGCCAUGGAUUACAAGGCAAUAAGCCCAGAACCAAAUGGUGCAUUUUAGGCACCAUCACCCCCAUCUGAAACCUUCAGCCUGAAGCCCAGGUCCCAUAUGUAGAUUUUUUGGACGAAAACACGACUGGCAAUCGUGUGAUUUGGACAAAACUCAUCGUUUUCACCAACGAUCUUUGAACUUCAAGAAGAAUUUUGUGAGUUUUUCAUAGGAUUCACUCGAAUCCCUUCGGUUCUCAUUACCCCUGAAGUUGAGGUUCAACCUUCGUUGUCAAAUUUUGGUUUUCCAAUGAACCAUGUCUUGCACCGACCAUGGAACUCUGCCUAAAGCGGGGCCGUUGACCAUCUCCGAUGAAUCCCCACACCUAGUGCUGCUGGCGUGGCAUGCAGAUCCAAACUUAAGCCCUAACGAGCCUCAAAUUCCUUUGGUCCAUCUCGCACAACACCUUUUUGUUGGGCUUGCUUGUGCCUAUCUCCUUGAUCCACAUCACUAACCCUUUGGGCUUUGAUGAUAACCUGGCCCGAAAACCAGUUGAGCUCUUCUGGGCUCUUGCUGUCUUUCCUAUGCGCUGCGUCACACAGAAUCACAACUUCUGCUAGUGUAUGUGUGUUUGUGCCGCACCGAAUCCCAGCUUUGUUGGGGUAUCCGUGCUCUCCAUCGUACCUGAUCAGCGCUCUAUUUGGGCCUAUUCUUUGGGCCCAGCCUUCUUGCAACCCCUUUUUUCUACCUUGGGCCUGCAGCCUAAAUUUAUUUUGGGUACUAAUUUGCCUGUGGCUAACCCCAGCCCAGUUUUUUGGGCCUAGACCUCACAAUUCUCAAUUUGCUCAGCCUACCUGUGGGUUCUGGCCUAUUAUUUUAGGCCUUGAGUUUAAAUGCCUAUUUUUUUAGGCCUUUGGAUUUCAUAAUUUUUUUUACCCACACCUUAAAUUUGGCCCGAAGUCCAAAUAAUUAAUUUAAUUAUAAUUAUAGAUGUGAAGUUCUAUUUGCAUAUUUUCUUGUUGCAUAUUUCUGUAUAUAUAUUUGUGUUUGUCUACAGGGACAUAUGAACUUGAAGUUCAUAAUUAUUUUGAAACCUGAAGUUUCUAGAAACAUGCCUUGUUUGAAAACCUGAAGUUUUUCUUAAAAACAUCACCCAUGAAAACCAGAAGUUUUUUUUUUCAUGCGAAUUUAAACCAAUACAUGUCUAUUAAAACCUGAAUGUUUUACUCUUAUGUGAAUGGAUUGAUUUUUUUCUCCAUUACACUAACGACAUCUUAUCCAUUUAUUUUGUGAUAGGAAUAUGUCGAAUUUGAAUGAAUUCGACUUCACCGCUUUGGAGGUCUAUGUAAGAAGCUACUUCAAGUGGGUCCAAGAUGUGAAGCUUAACCUCAUUGCAAAGAAUUUGCAUCCAACCAUUGAAGACAAGACGGACAACCCGAUUGGCGAAGCUGAGAAAGCCACUGCCAUGAUCUUGAUUCGAAGACACAUUCAUGAUGCACUGUAAACUGAGUACCUUGCUGAGGAGGAUCCACAAGCACUCUAGGUUGCUUUGGCUAAUCGUUUUCAUCACCAAAAGGACAUCUUCUUGCCUGAAGCAUGACAUAACUGGUAGCACUUGCGCUUCCAAGACUUUAAGUCGGUGAAUGAAUAUAAUUAUGAAGUUUGUAGAAUCCGAUCACUUCUCAAGUUCUGUAACGAAACCUUGACCAAAGAAUAUCUCUUGGAUAAGACCUAUUCGACCUUCUCUGCUACUAAUAUUGUCCUGUAGCAACAAUAUAUGGCUAAGAAGUUCACUAAGUUUUCGAAUUUGAUCUCUGUUUUACUUUUCGCUGAAAAGCAGAAUAAGUUGUUAAUGAAAAAUCAUCAAGCUCGACCUACUGGGGCCACUGUUAUGCCUGAAACACAUUAUAACACAAACCAACACCAAUGGUAGAGGUGGCCAGAAGCUACCUCGUCAAGGUCAACAGAGCCAAAGCCCAUCUAAGGGAAGAAAUCAAGCCCAUAAGCGCCCUAACCUCGCUCCCAAGGCUCCAAACUUCAAGAAUAAGGGCAAAACACCUGAAACCACGGAUGCGAGCAUGUGCUAUCACUAUGGUUCAAAUGACCAUUGGUUCCGUGUUUGCCAAGCUCCCCAGAAGGUUGUAGCUGAAUAUCAUUCUCGUCGUAAAAAGUUUGAAUCAAACUUUGUGCAAGUGGAUGAACUGGAAAGUACCAAGAUGGAGGUUUCUGACUUUCAGAAGGAUACCACCCCUAUGGAAGAUUAAAAUCUUAGACAUGAAUGAUUUCUAGUUAAAUUUUAGAAUAAUGGGGCCAAAUUCCACCUAGUGGCCGAACCCCCCUUUGUUUUGGUUUAAUUUUGAACAAUUUUCCUUUAUGUUUGGAUUAUUUGUUGGUGAUUUAUUUUUGGAUAUUAAGUUUUAUUCAUUAUCAUCCUUGAAUACUUGAAUUAUUUUGAAAGGAUAUUUGUUUUAAGAACCUUUAUGCAUGUUGUCACGUCCGGACCCGAAAUCGGUAAUAAAAACUCGAAUCCGAAUCUGAAACGUGAGUUAAAAGUAAAAAUAAAUAAAAGGAAAUUGACACGGGUUGGAAAAAUAAACUCUUCUUAUUAAAAUAACUCCAAAAUCCUUACAGGGUGUACAAAAAUAAUAACUUAAAAUCCUUAAACUUCUCCUCAAUCACAACCUCAACUCUUCUAACACCUGUCUUGCCAAAUAACAUCUGUAAAAUAAUAGGUGAGGGGUGAGCAACAACCACCGUCGCUCAGUGAGUAGAAUAUGAAAUAUGUCAGUCAAGCAAUGCCUUUUUACACACACUAGAAAAUACAAUAAUAAUAUCAAAGCUUUAACCACGUAAUUUCAUAUCAAAUCAUCCCUUUACGUGUUCAUUACAUCCUUCAUAAAUUGUAACUCACCACGUGACCCCUACUGGCCUUUCAACCCUAAUGUCCCCGUGUGCAGUUUACAUUUAUCCCUCGGAUUAAUGCAACACUAAAGUUCUCGUGCUUCAUGAACAUAUCCAAAUAAUCCACAUAUCACCAUAUUAAUGAUUCCAAAGGUACAUCAACAAAUCCAACAUGCUUGACUUAAAAUAGAUAGAGAUUUAUAAAUAGAUAAAACUCAUGAUAGUUUGUGGUUUUCAUUUAUCAGAAAAUAAGAAUAUUUUGAAACACAUUACAUAAACCACUCAACUCGAUAAUCCAAGUUUUGGCAAGACAACCCAACUAACAUCUCCGCACACCUCAAACUAGCUUUCCCUUUUUCUUUUCUUUCUAAGCUCUCACUCCAACGUAUAUAUAAAUAUAUACGCACAACACACACACACACACAUAUAUAUACACACACACACACCAAUCUCUACGUAAUGCAUGCUCUGCAUGUUUCCUUCUUUUUAUGCUCCAAAACCAAUGGAGCAAAGCUCAUAUUUAUAGUGAAAUAGAACGGCUCCAAGACUUGAGGUCCAAGGAAAAUAUACAAUAAAAUAUAUGAAGUCCUAUCCGUAAACUCCUAUGUGUGUAUGAAGGUAAUAAUUUUCUUGCAACACCUAUUGUAGUAUCAAUAUCUUAGUCACUAGUUAUGCAAGGUGUCAAUUGCAUGUGUGCAAAGGAUGACACAUCCAGGUAAAUAGCCUUGUAAAAUCAGCACACUAGAGUGCUUACUAAUCAUGCAUUUCUCUCUCCCAAGAUAAUUAAGACUAGUACUGAUAGGAGCUAGGCACAUGGUAUAUAAUAAUAAUAUCAAAUAUUUACUUUUAAAAUACGGGGUCUUACACAUGUGACUGAUUCAAAUUAAUUUUAUUUCUAUGUAUGAUUAGUGGGAAAGUUAAUUGUCUGGCAUACAGUGCAACCACACACACCAUUUUGCGUGAACAAAUCUAUUUCACUAACUUCAUACCUAAGAAUGCACCUCUAACAACCCUCUUAGGCCUAUCCAACCUGAUUGAAGGAGACGGUAAGACACGUAUAAUGUUGUCCAAUGGUACAAUUUUGAUAAUUGAUGAGGCACUCUAUUCUCCACGUUUCGGAAGAACAUUUUUGAGUUUCAAGGACAUUAGAGAUAAUAAUUACCACACUAAAACCUACGUAGAAAAUGGAGUUGAAACCAUGUGUAUCACUUUCUAUGAAUAUGGCUAGAAGCAUAUUCUGGAGAAGAUGGAACGUAUCCCGAGUGGUUUGUAUGCUACAACCAUAUAUCCUAUAGAAAGCCACUAUGUGGCCGGCCAUACCUCUGGGACCGGGCAUGAGAUUACACUUUGGCAUGAUCGUUUGGGACACCCUGGACGAACAGUGAUGCGCCGUAUCCUCAAAUCAUCACACGGGCAUCCACUAACCUGAAGUUUAGGUAAUUCAAGGAAUCACAUGUCAAACCUGCUCUAUGGGAAAACUCAUUAUUAAGCCUUCUUAUGACAAAUUCGUUCGAAUCCUCCUAUUUUUCUAUAAAGGAUUCAGGGGGACAUUUGUGGACCGAUUGACCCUCCAUGCUGACCAUUUAGAUAUUUUUUUGUUUUGGUUGACACUUCCACAAGUUGAUCACACGUGUGCUUGUUGUCCAUAAAGAAUGUUGCAUUCUUUAAGCUGUUGGCUCAUGUUAUCAAGAUCAGGGCUCACCUUGAUUAUCCGAUCAAAUCUAUUCGAUUGGACAAUGCCAGAGAAUUCACAUUUAAAACUUUUGAUGACUAUUGCCUGUCGAUUGGGGUUGAAGUUGAACAUCUAAUACCCCAUGUGCACACCCAGAAUGGCCUGGUAGAGGCAUUCAUUAAACGCUUAUAAAUGAUUGCUCGAUCGUUGGUCCUAUGUACCAAGCUCCCGAUCGCUGAAUAGGCCAUGCAAUAUUGUACGCAGCCAUAUUGUUCUCCUGAGGCCUAUUGCAACCCAACCAUAUAGCACCCUUUAGUUGGUUACUAGAUACGAACCCGACAUAUUGCAUCUACACGUUUUUUUGUUGUAUGGUCUAUGUGCUGAUUUCACCGCUCUUACGUACAGAUAUAGGGCCUCAACGAAGAAUGGGAAUCUGUUUCGAAUAUGAUUCUCCUACAAUCAUUCAUUACGUAGAACCUUUGACAGACGAUCUGUUUAACGCUUGUUUCGGGGAUUAUCAUUUCUAAAAGACAGUAUUCUUGUCGUUAGGGGGAGAUAAGAACGUCAACGUUCAUGAAGAAUGACGUGAAUUAUCAUGGACGACUCCCACUUUGUCUCAUUUAGAUUCUUGCACUGCUCAAUUUGAUACUGAAAUGUAGCGCAUAUUAGAUCUUUAGGGCAUAGCUCAGAGCAUGAUAGAUGCUUUCACUGAUAUAGCGCGAGUGACAAUAUCACAAAUUCCAGCUGCGAAUGUGCCUGCAAAUAUGGAUGUACCAAAUGUACAACGAACUUACCUCGUGGAGGCCUAGGACGCCACUUUGGCCGAUCCACGUACAUUAGUAGCUAGCCAAUCAUCUGCUCUUACACACAAGCAUGGUAUAUCACUUGGUUCAAAUGAUUCACACCCCCAGAAGAGGAAACCCAAGGAACUGGCCCCUGAAGAGCCUUCCGUGAAUCCGACUGUUGCCUACUUAUUUUGUUUAACUCAUAACGAAAUUCUAGAUUACGAAAGCGUCCUUGAAGAGACGAAUCUACCCCCCGAGAAUCGUGAGAUUUCAGUCCAUUAUGCUAGCUUGGAUGAUGUUUAUUGUAGAAAUGAGAUGAUUAUCAACAAUGCAUUCACAUAUACAGUAGCUACUGAGAUCAUGUUGAGCGAUGACAUUGAACCCUGUUCUUCAGAGGUAGUCUCAGAGCCUUCUGGGCAAUGGCUAUGAGUUGAGCAUGGUUAAUGGGGAACUGGCAUCUCAUCUCGGUCUUCCUAAACCUCAUCAUAAAAUCCUCUGUGGACUUAUGUUCAUAUUGCUUCACUUCCACCAAAUCAUUAAUGGUCAUCUCAGGUUCCACCCUAUAGACUUGCUCAUGAAAAGACAUCUCCAUUUGCCCCCAGUUAGCAAUGGAAUUAAGGGAUAACAGAGAGUACCAUUGGAAGCCAAUCCCACUAGCGAGUUCCCAAACAAUCUCAUUUUGUAGUUGGGGUUGUCCUCGAACGCCACACAGUGAUUUAAAAAUUUGAAAAUGUGAUAUCUGGAAGAUACAUUACAGUCUUCUUUGCUGAAAGUUGGGAACGUGGGCAUUUUGAAAUUGAGAAGGAAAAGAUUUUGCUCAUCAACAUACUCAGGAUAAGGCUUCUGAUAUGUUAUUCUAAACAUCGGGCGGGCUUGAGGUUGAGCAUUAUGUACCACCAUCCUUCUUAACUCUGCCAAAUCAUUCCUGAGUUGUUGAUUGGCCAUAUUAUUAUGUGGGGGAUAGGAAGUCCCCCACUUCGGGCCAUGGUCAAUGCCCAAGAAAGCUUCUCUCUGUAUGUUAGGCUGCCUUCAUCUAACUUCUCAUUCUCCUUUAUUAGCUAAUGGUGGUGGCCUGUAAGGAUGAAGUUUUCCCCCAGCAGUGGAUAAACAUUUCCCACUUGUUUCUCCAACCGAGUUAGAUGCACCGAUCUUUGGUAUUUCUUGCUCGAUUUGCCUCUUAACAUUUGGUGGUGGUGGGAGAAAAUCAGGCAAGCCUAUCUCUUGAAACUCCACAUUAGGGUCUUCUUGAUGAUUUUCUUAAGCCCAUUCCUUCUUUUUUCCUUUGUUCUUUAAUUCUUCAAGUAAGGGAAACUAAGGAACUGCUAGCUCUUUUUCUAGGCUCGUCUCCACGACUCCUUCAUUGGCUUAGCCAUCUUUGUCGUGGAGUAUUCUAACUCCAACUUUCUUUGUAGCAUUCUUGUUAAAGAACACAGCCUGCUAACCUUUCGUCUGGUUUCUAGAGAAAUCUUCUCCAAACUUUUCAAUACUUGCAUCAUGGUGGCUUGCAAAUCUUCAUUAGUGACCUUUCCACCCGACUUCUCAGAAAAGGUCAGGCUUUCUAUGAUCCCAGGGUCGUGUGGUGAAGGAAAGUCUUAUGGGUGAUCAUGUCUACUUUUGGCGGGCAAAGAGGUUGCCCAAAUUCUACAUUCCACCUGAAUGUUCAAUCUUUUGUUCGUCUUCGUAUACAAUACUACAAACUAUAUCCCACUGGGCGUGCCAAAAUUAUGGGUUGUUUUUUGUUGUGAAAUUGUUUGAUUGAAAGAGUUCUGUAAAAAAGAGGUGAAACGCUACUCAAUACCCGGUAUGUCUAUCUGUACAUGAUUUUGGGGGUUUUGUGAGAGACUAGGAAUUAUGCGAGCAUUUGGUUUUUAUUUAUGAGAUUUCUGAACAAAAUUAUAAAUACUUUAGAGAUUGGGAGACAAAACCCACAAAUUCAAAUCAGACCAAAAAUAAAUAAAAAUUUAACGACUUAAAGAUCAAACUCCAAAAGGGUAUUAAAUACAAGGCUUAUUUGAUCGAUUGGAUGUGAAAGUUUUGAGCUUUAAAGAAGCAAAGGAUGAGAGUUUUUAACCAAGCACAAUCAUCCAUGUCUUAGGAUGUUAAUUCCUUUGUACCGAAAAAGAAAUUACUUGGGAAGCAGAAAGUUGCCACUUUUAUUAUUUAAAUGACAGUAUGCAGGAAAAAUCCUUUUUUGAUGCCAUAUACAGAGGAGUUGAUUACACUACAGUAUUCUAUAACUAGCUUUGAAAAACAACUUUAAGCUUUGAUUAUGUGUUCUCAUAACCUCCUGCUCUGUAAACGAUCUGUGUCCCAUUACGCCUCAAGAUUUGUGCUUGGUUUUCUUUGUCUGGUUCUGUAUCAAAAUUGGUGUAAUUUGUUUGUAAGAAUCGGGUGAGAGUGGUAAUGGAUUAUAGUGAAAUUUGAGAGAGUUGGAGUGGAUUAUAGUGAGAUAUUUUGCGUUUUGAAGUUCAAAGUUGGGUUUUGAUUGCAUACCAAUUGUUGCAUGAUAUAUUUUGCCAUAUUGGCAAGAUAUUGUGCCAAUGAGUACCUAUCUUUUAAAAUUGGUACAAGUUAAAUGUAGAGUUAUCUUGAAAAUAUUUGUAGUACUUUAAAGAGUCUUGAAUAUACCCAUAAUUUGGCUGUUUAAUUCCUGUUUGAACUGUCUUUGGCUGAAUGCAGGCGCCAUGACCACCUCUCAAAUACGUUUUUCUAUUUGUGUAAGCCUUUUCACUUUUUCUGAAAUCAAAUUUCUUUCUAUGUAAUUUGCAUGUUAGGUGGAAGACUUGGUCUCUGAAAAAUUUCUGUUUUUCGAUUGUGUUUCUUGCUGGAAUUUGAAUGCCGAUAUGGUUAUUCGUAGGCAUUUUUUUGGUAUUUAUAGGAUACUGAUUGUAUUAUGCAUUGCAUGGUAGGUGGGAGGUAAUAUUUGGGUGUUUUGUUACCGGGUGUUUCCAUCAAUGGGGAUAAGAUACAGGAAAACUGGACGUUUCAAAUUUUGACCGAACUUAUCUACUAGAGGGAAAACUGGAUAUGAUCAUGACCAGGUGUUUGACUAAACACAUCUUUUUUGUAAUAAUGCUUUUACAUGUUUUUAACUGCACUUUUUUAAUUUCCUAUCAUUUUGAUGUUUUUUUUUUUGUUGUAUUUUAAUAGCAAAGGAUAAGCAUGAUGUUGCUUGGUUUUGGCUGGAGAAAGGGAAGCCACAUGAAUGCGCAGUUUGCACACAAUAGUUUGUGGUAAGUGGAGGCUUGAACUUGAUGUGAUAGAAUUUUUUUUGUUUUUUUCCAGCUCCCUAAGACUUUUAUGUUAUUAUUUGGAUUAUGAUCUAAUGGCAAGUGGUUGGAACUAUUGGUAGUGUUUUGAAGGAACAAGAAGACACAUAAUAGAACUUGAAUGGGAAGAAGAAAGAAGAAAGCCAGCUUUUCAACUGAUAAACUAAAAUCAAUCCCCUCAAUCUCCUCAUCGGCGGUGGUGGCGACGACUACCAGGUUCACUUUUUUUAAUUUCAUUUUAAUUUUUGCUCUUUUUAGUUGAUUUAAAAAAUGAAAAAUCUGUUAGGUUUUUUGGCUCGUCAAAGUGGGAGAGAGGAGCAUGCGAUUUCAUGCAGGAUUGCCUGAUAGUUUUUGGGCAGAGGUUGUUAAUCAUGCAAGUUAUUUGAUUAACAUAUCACCAUCUACAAUUCUCGGUUUUAAGAGUGCAUAAGAGGUAUGGUCUGAGAAGCUAGUGGACUAUUCCAAGCUCAGGGUGUUCGGCUGUAGUGCUUAUGCACAUAUUCCAAGUGAUGAAUGGUCCAAGCUCAAACUGAAGUCUACACAUUGCAUAUUCUUAGGUUUUAAGAAAGAAGUUAAGGGUUUUAGGCUUUGGGAUAUCAACAACAGGAAAAAGGUUGUCUGCCGAUGUUGUCUUUGAUGAGACAACCAUGCCUCUUAAUAAAGUCGAGAGUAGUAGGGAGAAGAAUGAUGAUGCUGAAAUUGAAGCAACAAAGAUUCUGUUAAUCAGUUCAAAUGAAGAAGAAGCUCAGGUGGAGCAAAUCGAGCAAGAGGCCGAAUCUGAUGGUUUUGAGGAAGAAAAAGAGCAUCAACAUUGUUCACCAGUUAGGAAUCAGGUGGAGUAAGAAACAUGGCAUAUUGAAGGCACUCUAAUCCGCCAGACAUCCCAAAAGGUUCGAACUCCAACCAACAAUCCACUUGCAUUCUAGAGAUGCAUAGCACUAGACAAACCUAAUCGAAACAAGAAGAAACCGGACAGGUUUGGGUUUGACCAAGACAAAGUUAAUUAUGCUCUUAACAUUAGUCAAGGAGAUCCGACAACUUAUUGAGAAGCUAUAGCAAGUGAUGAGCGAGAUAGUUGGAUAAGUGCUAUGACAUAAGAAAUGGAGUCUCUUUACAAGAACUUUGUUUGGGAAUUGGUUCCUAAGCCCAAAGACAGAAAGCUAGUUGGAUGCAAGUGGGUAUUUAGGAAAAAUGAAGGACUGCAUGAACAAGAUGACGUGAGAUUCAAAGCAAGGCUCGUGGCUAAGUGGGUACUCACAAAAGGAAGGGGUGGAUUAUGAUGAGAUCUUUUCACCUGCAGUCAAGCAUACUUCUAUCAAAUUGCUUUUAGCAAUGACAGCUCAACAUGACAUGAAGAUUGAGCAAAUGGAUGUGAAGACAACGUUUCUUCAUGGGGAUCUAGAGGAGACGAUUUUCAUGGCUCAACCAGAAGGGUUUGUUGAAUUUGGGAAAGAUAACCUAGUAUGUCAGUUAAGGAAGUCCUUGUAUGGCCUGAAACAGUUUCCAAGGCAGUGGUACAAGAGGUUUGAUUCCUUCAUGCUGAAAAUCAAUUUUAGAAGAUGUUUAUAUGACUGUUGCAUUUACUAUCAUGUGUUCCAAGAUGGGAUGAUCAUAUUGCUAUUGCUAUAUGUGGAUGACAUGCUAAUUACUUGUUAAGACAAGUCUAGAAUUCAAGACUUGAAUAAGAUGUUGAGUGAGGAGUUUGACAUGAAGGAUCUAGGUGCUACGCAAAAGAUCCUUGGCAUGGAAAUUCAGAAAGAUAGGAUCGCUGGAAGGAUCUGGAUAUCACAAGCCAAGUAUAUUCAUAAGGUUCUUGAGAAGUUCAACAUGUAAGAAGCAAAGGUAGUUUCAACUCUUUUGGCGACUCACUUCAGGUUAAGUGGGCAACAGUGUCCUAAGUCCGAGGAAAAGCAACAAGUAAUAGAGAAGGUGCCUUACGCUAAUGUCGUGGGCUGCCUUAUGUAUGCAAUGGUAUGUAAAGGUCCCGACAUAGCUCAAGCAAUCAGUAUCGUUUCCAGAUACAUGGGAGAUCCAGGAAAGUAACAAUGGGAUGCAGUCAAGUGGAUUUUGCGUUAUUUGAAGGGUUCUUGGAGACGAAAUAUUAUGUUUGAAAAGCAAAAAGAAGAUGUAAGGGUGUUAGGAUAUGUGGAUGCCGAUUAUGCAGGGGACUUCGACAAGAUAAGGUCAACUUCUGGUUAUGUGUUUACAUGCGCAAGAGGACCAAUUAGUUGCAGGGCAUUACUGCAACCAGUUACAGCUUUGUCGACCACAGAGGCAAAGUAUAUUGCAUUGGCUGAUGUUGGAAAUGAAGCAAUUUGGCUUAGUGGCUUGGUAAGUCAAAUGGGAAUCACUCAAGAUUGUUUGAAGCUGAAGUGUAAUAGUCAAAGUGCCAUUCACUUGGCAAAGAAUCAGGUUUUAUUCUAGAAGAUCAAAGCACAUUGAAGCAAGGUAUCACAAAAUCAGAGAUUGGGUGGAGUCUAAGGAGAUUUGGAUUGAAAAGAUUCAUACGGAUGGCAAUGCUGCAGAUUUCCUUACAAAGAUAGCGCAGGCCAAGAAGUUCAAGCAUUGCUUGAACUUGAUCAAUCUCGUUGAUUGAUUAAAGUGGAGCACCUCCUUACUUGAGGUGCAAUGAGGCAAGAAAAAGAUUGCCAAGGUGAAGACUCUUGAAGAUUUCUAGAGCUGCUUCAAGAAGGUUCAAAGAUACUCUGAGGUGCAACGAUCAAGACUUGGUUUGACCCACCAAGGUGGAGAUUGUUAGGUUUUUUGGCUCGUCAAAGUGUCCUAGUUGGUUUAGGAUUGUUUUAGGGAAAAUUAGAGGUAUACCGAUUCUUGUCCUAGAGGGUUUAGGAAAGAAUUUCAAUUUUACUUAUUCAAUUUAGGUUUGAAUUUCUAGAAGUCUAUUUGGAUUUGGAUAAGUGUAUUUUCCUAAUCCAUUUAGAAUAGGAAUUCAAUUAGCCUUGGGACAUGUAAGCCGAACCUAUGCCUAUAAAUAGGUUGCGGCAAGACAUAAAUCUGUGAGAGAAAAAACUAUGACAGCCGAGACAAGAGAAAGAGAGAUUAGUUCUAGGGUGUUGCAAAAGUUUUGUAAUUCUCUAUUAUUAAUCAAAGGAGUGGUGAUUUCUCUACCUAGAGAUCAAAACUGGACGUAGGCAAAAGUUCUGCCAAACCAGUAUAAGUCUUGUGUGUUUCUAAGUUUUCUAUAUUUGCUAGUUUAGUCAUUGUAGUUGGUUACAUUAAAGAACAAGGUCUAGUGUGUGGUUUUUUCAACAAAAUCUAAAAACAUUAAGCACUCCAAACGGUUGAGCAAAUUAAAAUUGAAAAUUGUGCCUAUUUGAGAGAGUUAAUUAGUGAAGAAUGCUUACUUUUGUUACCUAAAUGUGUUUAUAAAGAAUAUAAUGUAACAUAUAGUAUUAACAACAAGCCUAUCACAACAUCCCACAAUCUGUCAUAAUCUCUAUAUCUCUGUUUACCCUUUUUUUCCUGAUAUCAUGUGUCCUGCAAAACUUAAUUUUUGGUGCAGAUUAAUUAAAAAUCAUGCUAUGGAUAUACAUGGGAAAUUGCCAAACAAGUUUCCAUCUAUCCCAGGUAUUUUUGUUUCUCCCUGUUUAUGUGGUUUUUUUUUAUUAUUAUUGUUUUUUUUUUAUAGUUAGUUUGUUUACUCUGCUCUGGCUUUAAAGAAAGGAUUCCAAAUUUACACUGCUCGGUAAUCUAUAAACAUUGAAAACAAUAGAAGGUUAGCUGGUGAGAUUAAAUGGUUAGCAUGAUUUGCUCUCCCUUCUAAUUACAUGCAAUCAGCUUUUCUAAAUUGACUUUCAUCUCAUGAGAUACCUUUUCAAUUCCAUUCCAUACACUGAAAAUGAAUCUGAGAGCAAGAAUCGAAAACAUCAAUGCUAAUUUUUGGUCAAUACUAUGAACUAUACAUUCUUCAAAUUACACUUUAUAGUAGUUACUCUCUUUAAAGCUGAAUUUUCCGACGAAAACAAUAUAAAUUAGAAUAUAAUAGACUUUUGGCCAGCAAGAUUAACUUGCAAAUAUAAUUGGAUCUGUUUUCAUUGCUCAAACAAAGUCACACAGUUUGUAGCAAGCUAAAAUUCGUAAGCAUGCUUUUGAUUUCCUAACUGUAGAAAAAACACUCCUAUUAUAUUCUAAUUUAUAUGUUCCUGACUGAAAAUUCAACUUUAAAAUAGUCGAUUUCGUUCACCUUCAUCCUAACAAUUCUCUCAUACUUUUGAUCCGAAUUAAGAAUGAAAUGAAAUUGACUGAAAACUGAAAUAUGGACUACAACUUUUCCUUGCGUAUUAGACCAAUUUGGUUUGAGCAUGAUUGAGUUGAUGGUUUGCGUAUGAAUGAUUUUGAUAAUCUGGAUUCAUAUGCGAUUUAAGGUUUAAACUUAUUUGUUAUUAUCAUCUGUAGUUCCAACCAUACAUAUUUUGUUUUUCAUUUUUAAUAAAACUAUCACUUAUAUUAUCAACUUUUUUUUUUUAAUUUGUAACCUAGAAAUAAAAACGCUUGCACACAAAAAAAAAAAAAAAAGAGAGGAAGUUUUGAAAUGCAAUGAAGACUUGCGAUUAUUUUUGCUACAUAUAUAGAAAUGAGCAACCAUAGAGUGGGAUCACAUACUUUGUACAACUAAUAUUUGAAAAGUUGAUUGGUCAACCAAUAUGUUGUAUAAAGGUUGGUAAAAUAUUUUGGACAAUAAGCAGUUAAUGAUGUAGAUCAGAAAACUUAGAUGACAUUUGAACCUAUUAUUUUGGUUACAACAUACCAAAAUCAUGCCCCUUUUGUUUAAAUGGUAUGCGUGAUGGUAUGCGUGCCCAGAAGUAUUUAAGAUUUCCUUCGUUUACUCAAACAUUUAUAUUUUGAGAUUUCCAAAUAUACUGGAUGAAUUUUAGAUUUUGAUAAAGAUGUAAAUAAACUUUAAUAUAUUUCAUGUUUAACAGAAUUUUGAAACCCGCGGCAUUGUGGUUUCUCUUCAGGGUUUUUAAUUUUAUGUUUUCUGAUUGAAUUUGGCAUCAAUUUAUCCAAUGGAUUAGAGAGUAAUCAUAGGGCCAAAACUGAGUUGAGAAUGAAUUGGAUUACAACUACUAAGAGGGAUAGUUGUUGUAUGCAAGUUUUUGAGAAAAUGGUAUUGAGAAUCUGAUAAUUUGGGAGAUGCAAGUUUUUGAAAAAUUGGUAUUGAGAAUCUGAUAAUUUGGGAGUGAGUGAUCAUAGGACCAAAACAAAUCGGAAUUGUUAUUUUUGACAGCGCUUCUUUAUUUCAACUUUAGGUCUUUCCUAGCUUAGAAUAUUUCUUAAGAACCAGAAUGUAUUUUUCGUUUUUAGAAUAUUGUCAUUUAGCUUGCUGAAAAUAUUUAGGGACCUAAGUUUAUAUGGUGCUCUCAUCUCUGUGAUGUAGAGCUGAUCAAAUUUUAUGACUAAUUAAACUAUUGUUUACUUGUAAAGAUGUCAUUAACUUUCAAUUGGCUUUUGCAGUAUGUUUGGGACCAAGCUGAAUUUGAUAUCAUUAAGCUCAAGACAAUAAUUAGUCCAUUUCCAUCUCAAAAAGCAGCGGAUGACUAUUAAACCACCAUGCAUCAGGUAAUCUUCACACUCAGAUUGCAUUCAAUUCCUAUGUAGACCAAAAGAACCUACAAUAGAUCAUUACUAACUCGGGGUAGAUUGAAAAGAGUUUAGGUCUGGCAAGCUUCUACGGUUUAGGGAAGAAUACCAAGAUUUACAUUUUGUUUAACUCCCAGUAUAAACAUGUGCAUUUUGUUAAUAGUAUUGAAAACUAUUGUAUAAAACAUUUUCCAGGGGGUUUUGUUGAUUAUAUAACUGUGAAUUUUAGGCAUUCAGAUAGUUUUGGAGGUUCUGCGAUUUAUGGUACCGUGCAUCAUAUAAGGCUAAGAAGUCACCAUUACAUCUCUUAUCUAAGAGCCAGUAUUUAAGUUGGUGAGUAAGCAAUAAAAUGAGUGUUGUGCAAGUUAAUUAAGUUAUGCAUAUUGAUUUUAAGAGUAUAUUUUAAUUUUUUUUCUUCAGAGUAUUACAGUUACGUAUAAGUACACCAAUUAUACUUCUUCGAAGAAUACAUCAGUUCAUAUAGUAGCAGAAUGAUUGCGAACAUUGAAAAAUCUCAAGUAACUUAAAUGAUCAUGCUAGAUACCAAACUUUUUUAAUCUUUGCUUACAAAGUGUUGAUGACUAGGUAGUGAUUUCUAUUGAGCACCAGUUAUUUGCACCUCUUUUCCCUCCUUCCAUAAUUGAAGUGCUUUUGACUCUAUGUAGUAAUGAUUUAGAUGAUAAAAUUGUUGAAGUUUUUUCUUCCAUUGUGUUUCCUUUUUCAAAAAUUAAGAUAGAAAGGGAAUACUAUGAUAAUUGGAGGUUUUCGUUUUGAUAUUCAUAUGUGUGCUUUAGCGGGUAUAAAAAAGGAGAUUUUGUUUGUAGAUAUAGUCAUUAGUAAUGCUUUUAUGGUUUUCUUUAAUGUCGAGAAAAUUGAGAUUCCUUUUAAAUGACUUUAUUGCUCAUAUGGUUAAGAAGUACUUACAGGAACUUCGCUUAAAUGACUUUAUUGCUCAUAUGGUUAAGAAGUACUUACAGGAACUUUGCUUUCGUUAUCAGACACUAGAAGAAUAGUGCAAGUGAAUGAACUUAUGAGGGCUGACUUAUAGAUGGAUGACUUCCUAAUCUGAAUGACUACCAUGUUUAGUGUUAUUGUCGAUUCUUCAUUAAUCCAUUCAUGGUAAUUGAAUGAACAAUUGUCCAUUUUACUGUUCAGGUUUGUCAAAAACUUGCUCAAAGAGCAGACUGUCAGUGUGAUUUGAGCUAGUUGUAAAUAGUAUCAUCUCUUUGUAAAUAACACUUUAAAGUCAUCUCUCUCAUUGUAAACAUAUUAUAUGUAAAAUAAUAUCAUUUUAAACGGUCAUAAAACCCGCGGCAUUGCGCGGGGGCUCAAUUGCUAGUUGGUACUACUAUAUAUAUAUAACACUUUAAAAUAAUCUUUCUCAGUGUAAACAUAUUAUAUGUGAAAUAAUAUCAUUUUAAACAGUCAUAAAACCCGCGGCAUCACGCGGGGGCACAAUUGCUAGUUGGUACUAUAUAUAUAUAUAUAUAUAUAUAUAUAUAUAUAUAUAUAUAUAUAUAUAUAUAUAUCCUUCCCUAAUGAAAGAGUCCACCUGCUGACAUAGAUUAAGCAGCUACUAGUUCCCCCAUCUUGUCAAAGAAUCAAAUACUUCGUUCUCAUCGAUUGGGACGAACCCUUCCUGUGGUAUAUCCGCCGCUCCUAAGUGCGCUUUCCCUGUAGUAGUAGUCUCCCAACUCUGGACAAACAGUAUCCUGUCAUCGUCAUCUGCGAGUCCCUAGGAGCAAAGGUUCCCUCCCAUCUUGUGAUUAUGCCAUUCAUCCCCGGGGGAACAAGCAAGCGAAACUAGGGACAAACAGUAUCCUGUCAUCGUCUCAUACUAACACUAAAUAUACACUAUCUGAAAGUAUGUCGUUUUUGUGUUUUCCAUACUUAACCCUAAUCAUCCAAAUUCUUAUCAAGUAUAAACUUAUAGCAACCACCCAAUAAGGUUUAAAUGUAAAAUUUGAAAGUUUACUUGUUUAGAAUAGAGAAAGUGAGAAGAGACAGAAGGAAUAACUGUUGGAAAAUUUAAUAAUAUUAUUAUUAUUAUAUUAAAUUUAUUAAUUGAUAUAUAAUUGCAUGAAUUAUUUUUUGAUUUUCUAUGUGAUUUAAUAUAGCAAUUAGAUCGUAUUUUUUCUAUAAUCUUAAGACUUGGCGAGAUAGAAUUUUGCAUGUUCUUCCUUUAGUCUAAUAUCGUUUUGCAUAUUGAUUACAAUGGUGAUGGAUGUACGUCGCAUAUUAAUUAAUUGACUGUUCAAGACAUUAUGUAUUGAAUUUGCAUGAAUCAUGAUUAAUGAUUAUGAUAUUAAUCUCGGUGCAUGCUGACAAAUUAAUUAUUUAGUUGUCUCUUUGUCUGGCAAACCAAUUUCAGAUAUUAUAUCAUGUGGCAAGUUUAAUUUGUCACUGAAAUUUGCAUAGUUUCUUUUGCCUGCUUAUUGCUGUGUGUUUUUCCUUACUAGUCUCGCAACUGGUUUGUGUGUUUUAUAGAUGAUUGAUAUACGUAUGUGUCAAUGCAUUAUUAGAUACUUUAAACUCAGGUUAUGCACAUUAGCUGUACACAAUUUCUAUGACCGAAAUGACCGUUUGAGGAACCACUGAAACCAUGCACAUUGGUUGUUUUGUGGUAACUUACAACAUAUAUGUUAAUUUAUAUUAUGUUUCAGUGAACAUACUGGAUCAUGGUUUCUUAACCAUUGUGGCUUUUGAAAAAUGGUUUCUUAUUGGAAAUCAACGAGGCUAGGAUUGAGCUUUAGUGCUUAAUAUCCUCAUGUUGUAGUAUAGUUAGUUUACACACACAUUGAAAAGAUAUGUCUGCUAAAGCCACGUGAACACCAGGUGUAAUGAAUUCAUACCAGUUCGUGAAAGAGUUCCUUUUACAGAAAGGAGAUGUGCCGAAUUGAGAACGGUUGGCUGAUUUAAUGGUUGAGGAUGGUUGGGUAUUGGUAUUCCUUCUACCCGUUAUAAGUAACACUAGCAGACACAUGAGGUUUUGAACAGAUGUGUAUUAUGUAUAUGGGUUGCUGAAACAAUGCGAUUCAUAUAGGGUAGUGUCUGUUCAAAUUGAACAAACGUCUCUUCCAAGAAAGCACUCCAAAGUGUAUAGUCUAGACCAUUAUUAUGUUAUGGGUGAAAUUACAAGUUUGGUUCUCAUUUCAAGAAGCGAAUUAUCCAGACCUGGUAUCACGUUGUGAUAAAUAUCUGGGACAAGGAUUCUUUCUCCUCCUCUUUCCAUUCUCUUCCAUCCCUUCCUCUCACACUCUCUAUUUUGUUUUUCUCUUUCUAUAAAAAAAUUAAUAUAAAAUGUUGACGUAGCUUAACCGUGACCGUUCACAUAGGAGGGAAGGGAAGGGGAGGGGAAAAAAUGAGAGAGAAUCCUACUCCAAAUUUAUGACUAUGGUUCUUGUUUAAUUUCAAGAAACAAAAGGUUUGGAUAGUUGAAAGUAAAAGGACUGCCAAGAGAAGUGCUUCUCGUAGAAAGGACUUAUGAGGCUUGAAAGAGACAACACCUUCAUUGGUAACUACUUCUUAAGUAUGAUGAAUGAGUAAUUGAUAGCAUAAAAAGCAACCACAAUGUGAGGGAAUUGUGGGGGUGGCUUAGCUAUUUUUGAGAAAUGGAAUAUACUUAAAAAGAAUGUAAAAGUAAUUUGCUUCUAGAAAGAGAUGACGAGUAUUUCUUAUAACUGAAGUUUUAAGUUAUUGAAUGGUUUGAGAUCUUCUAGCAAAUACCUUAAAUGUGGAGGAGUUUACUCAAGUGUUAGCAAAUUACUUAUCAAGUCCGAACGCAUGUUUGGAGGAAUUAAAAACAACUACUCUUGAAUAAAAUAUAAUUUUAUAAAUGGAAGUGCGCACCAUAAGUGAUAGUCAUCAACCUAGUGGAUCCAAUUAAUUAAAGGUUUGAUUAGAGAGUAAGUUGUAUCAUCAAGGGGAAUGGGUUAAAAACCUAUGUCUUAAGAAUUGCCAUAAUGGCAACCCAACCUAGCUGACUGGAGAUCUUAAGAUCUAGGUUAAAGGGACAAUAGAAUUGUGGAUGAUUCAAUGGGAGCACUGCGGAGAUAAUCUCCUACCCAUGUCUUAUGAUGAAACAGUGUUAUCUGCAGUGUGUUUAUGAUAAGCUUUGCUCUUAAUGAUUCAUAUACUUGGAAAUAACAAGUGGGGUAUUGCAAGAUACUCUUAAUGGGAAGUCAUCUAUCUUGAGUGAGGAAUGAGGCCGUUCUUUUGAGAAUUUUCUGAAGGGUUUAAUUCUGUAAAAGAACUCAUAAGAAACCGAGAAUUGUUCAGGGCCAAAAUGAACACAACUGAGCAACCAAAGGGUGUCUGGAAGGGUAUUGUGUGAUUACUAUUGUCUUGGUUUACACAAAUGGCUAAGCAAUUUAAGACAUUGCGUUCACUGAUUAACCAAGUAAAUCUGAUAGUAAUUCACUACGAAAGGUUUAAAGUCAAAAGCUACCUAUCCUGAUGCGGUACUUUUUCUACUAAGUUCUCUCUCUAGUGUCUGCAUUGUCAUUUACAUAGUGUUGAGUCAAUUUCCAUUCAUGCGCGGGAUUGUUGGAAAAUUUAAUAAUAGUACUAUUAUAUUAAAUUUAUUAAUUGAAUGAAAAUUAGAAGUGAAGCUUUUCGGUAGAAAGAUGUGUUUACUCAAAUGAAGAGUUGCAACUUUUGACUCGUCAUGAAUAAUCACAUGUUUUCCAAAGAGGUACCUCAAAAUCUAUAAAUAGGAAGCCCCUAUAAACAUAAAAUAACUAUUCAUUGUUUUACAUAACAUAUAGUGCACUAAAUAUUAGAGAGUCUCAUUGAGUCCAUAUAAGAGUAUUCAACACAAUUGUGGUUAAUGGAGCCUUAUGAUUUGGAAUGCUACUAUUACAAAGAUGUGGUCAUUGUAUCUUGGGAGACAAGCGCUGAUCAACCAUGAGCACCAUAAUGAGACUUAAACUUGUCUUAAGGACAAAGUGUCUAACACUUGCCUCGACCGUAUUUUCAGGUUUUUCUAAUCCAUUAUAUCAUGUUCAUUUAACAUUGGUUACUCAUGUGUAUGCAUUAUUUUGAUAUAUAAUUGCAUGAAUUAUUUCUUGAUUUUCUAUGAUUUAAUAUAGCAAUUAUAUCCUAAUUUUUCCAACAAUAACUAGUGCUACCUAAUCAAUCCAAUAUCUAAUCAUAAUAGUUUUGGUACCUAUAUGUAACAUAUCCAUUCCAUGUACAUGCCAUUAAAGUGAACUCCAUAUCGUGCAAUCUGCAAUCAUCAACUAACUAUGCGUGUGUACUAAUUAAAUUUAGAUGUUUAUGCACGUAGGAGGAUUCAAACCUACUAAGACAUAUGAAUUUACAGUUUAGCCCAUAAUUACCCGUUUACGUACCAUUAGAGCAUUCACCGAUGUAGUUUAGCUCCAUUCAAUUUUUGUUGUUAUUAAGAUAUGGAUCAGAACCCUUGACAUGUUGUGGUCCUAACCCAUCUUCGAAACGUUCCUCACCAUUGGGAUUAACUUUGCUUAUGAAGAAUGAGUAUCAUUCUUCUUUACGUGUUUACUAACAACAAAAUGAAUUAAAAGGUAUGUAAACAAAACAUCCCUUGGAUUAUUUUGGGUGAAAUGGGAGGAGAGGCCCAAACAACAAUCACCCCAAAAUCUGGGUCUGGCUAACAACAGGAAAAGGAGUGUCCAACCAAGUGCAAGCCCAACUCCAAGUAAAACCUGUCCAACAGUUAAUGUAGUUUCUGCUUCUUCUUCUCAGUUAAUCUGUAUGUUUUUGGAAAUGCAAUGCGCCAUGGAAGGCCUUUCCUGGUCAAAGACCACCGCCACCACGGCGCUUCCCAGCUGGGAGACAUACUCCUGGUGGCCGCCAUCACCAAGACCCUCUCCACCUCCGGCACUGGCAACCUCCCGGACCCCCACACUCUCCCGCUCUCCGAGCCCCUCCUCUUCCAAAUCCUCCGCGCCCAGUCCCUCCGCCCCUCCAAAAAAAUCGACUUCUUCAAAUGGUGCUCUCUCACGCAUAACAUCAAACAUUCGGCGCGCACCUACUCCCACAUCCUCCGCACCGCCUCCCGCGCCGGAUUCCUCCACGAGGUCCCUCAAUUGCUUCACUCCAUGAAGGUGGACGGCUUCGUGGUCGAUUCCCAGACCUUCAAAUCCCUGCUCGACGCGUUUAUCCGGUCCGGUAAGUUCGAUUUUGCGCUUGAAAUUUUGGAUAUUAUGGAAGAUGUUGGUGCUGGGUUGAACACCGAUAUGUAUAACUCGGUUCUUGUUGCUCUGGUUAGGAAAAACCAGGUGGGUUUGGCCAUGGCCAUUUUGCUUAAGCUUCUGAAGGGAGGGGAUUCGACCCAGGUGCCGAAUUCGAUUGCCUGCAAUGAGUUGCUGGUUGCUCUUAGAAAAUCUGACCUGAGGAUUGAGUUGAAGCAAGUUUUUGAUAAGCUUAGAGAGAGUGAGGGGUUUGAGAUGGAUACUUGGGGGUAUAAUAUUUGCAUUCAUGCAUUUGGAUGUUGGGGUGAUUUGGGUACUAGUCUGAGUCUGUUCAGAGAGAUGAAUGACUCUUACUUGGAUUACGUCGGGCCGGAUUUGUCUACAUAUAAUAGCCUCAUUCAUGUGCUCUGCUUGGUGGGGAAGGUGAAUGAUGCACUUACUGUAUGGGAGGAAUUGAAGGGCUCCGGCCAUAAGCCAGACGCAAUUACCUAUAGAAUUCUUAUUCAGGGGUGUUGUGAGUGUUAUCGAAUAGACGAUGCCACUAAGAUUUUUAGUGAAAUGCAGCUCAAUGGAUAUAUCCCGGAUACCAUUGUUUAUAACUUUCUGCUAGAUGGGUUAUUCAAGGCUGGGAAGGUUAAUGAUGGCUGCCAGUUAUUUGAGAAAAUGGUUCAGAAUGGGGUGGGAGCCUCGAUGCAGACGUAUAAUAUUCUCAUGGAUGGUUUGUUCAGGAAUGGAAGGGCAGAGGCUGCGUACACACUAUUUUGUGACUUAAAGAAGAAGGGUCAGUUUGUCGAUGGUGUAACAUAUAGCAUUGUGGUUUUGCAACUUUGUAAGGAGAGUUUGCUUGAGGAAGCACUAGAAUUGGUGGAAGAAAUGGAAAGGAGAGGCUUUACUGUUGAUUUAGUUACUAUUUCGUCACUUGUGAUUAGGCUGUAUAAAGAAGGUCAGUGGGAUUGGACGGACAAGCUCAUGAAGAACAAUAGAGAUGAUAACCUAGUGCCGAGUGUUCUUAAAUGGAAGGUUGAUAUGGAGGCUUCGCUGAAAAAUCCACAGAGAAAUAGAAGGGAUUAUCCAUCAUUGUUCCCAAGUAAAGGCGACUUGAGUGAGAUUAUGAGAAAGUCUGCUGAAUCAACAGUGGAUGGAAACCUAGAUUCAGAGGCUGCGAGGGUUUAGGAAGAUAAUAAGAAUUUGUCCAAUUAUACUGAUCGGUGGUCAUCAUCUCCACAUAUGGAUCAAUUGGCUAAUCAACUUAAGUCCACCGACCACUCCUCACAGCUGUUUGCGUUGCCCAGGGGGCAAAGAGUUCAAGCGAAAGGGGAAAGCACUUUUGAUAUUGACAAGGUUAAUACAUUUUUGUCCUUAUUCUUGGCCAAGGGAAUGCUGAGCAUAGCAUGCAAAUUGUUUGAGAUUUUCAGUGAACUUGGUGAAAACCCCGUGAGUUAUACUUAUAAUUCGAUGAUGAGUUCGUUCGUCAAGAAGCACUACUUCAAUGAGGCAUGGGGUGUACUCAAUGAAAUGGGAGAAAAGGUUUGCCCCACAGACAUAGCUACAUACAAUGUGAUAAUUCAAGGCUUGGGGAAGAUGGGUAGAGCGGAUCUGGCUAGUUCUGUCCUGGAUAAGCUAAUUAAGCAGGGUGGUUAUCUUGAAGUGGUUAUGUACAACACCUUGAUUAAUGCACUAGGGAAGGCAGCAGGAUUGAUGAAGUAAACAAGCUCUUUGAGCAGAUGAAGAGUAGUGGAAUAAAUGCUGAUGUUGUCACUUUUAAUACACUUAUUGAAGUUCAUAGCAAAGCAGGUCGGCUACCCCGAACCAUGUUAUUGACACGACUUUAGAUUUUCUGGGCAAGGAGAUUGAGAAAAUGAGGUACCAGAAGGCAUCCAUGGUGCGCAAUAAGGAUGACUGACCUUGAUAAGAAUUGUACACUUCAAUUCAACUGUAGUUCAACCUGCUAUGACUUUUGGCUCAUAAAUGUUAAAUGAAAAUUUGAAGGCUAAAAGUGUAGUCGUGUGUUGAGGUGCCUUUUCGACCUAUAAUCAUGUCAUGCUC
This 33479-nucleotide long non-coding RNA is filed under the name Malus domestica (apple). RNAcentral describes it as "long non-coding RNA (MDOM_LNC000973)". The record is from RNAcentral. Lineage: Eukaryota; Viridiplantae; Streptophyta; Magnoliopsida; Rosales; Rosaceae.